Lemur catta (Ring-tailed lemur) is the source of this 654-nucleotide long non-coding RNA. RefSeq lists it as uncharacterized. The record is from RefSeq and is a predicted model, not a curated record. The transcript has 3 exons. Lineage: Eukaryota; Metazoa; Chordata; Mammalia; Primates; Lemuridae.
CUUUAUUUCAAAUGUAUGAGAUUGCAGACCCCUCCCUUCUUAGAAGGGGCUGUGAAAUGGAGUAGCAUACAGAAGUAAAAUAGAGAUGUGACCCGGUCUCUGCUGGCAGAGUGUAAGAGGACAUGACAUCCUUUAUAGAUGAGUUUCCUACAAAGCUUUGGACACAGAUGAAUCAACAGACCCAGGGAAUGGACCAUCUUGAAUCCUAGGUAAGCAUGUGAGCUUGUUAACCCAGCAUAGCUCCUUGUGAAGUAUAGUCACUCUGUGAAUAAAUUGCGACUAUGGAGCUGCUGAAGGCCAGAGUGCAUGACUCAUUCACCUGCUGGAGCCUGGUUUGCACCGUUCCCAAGGCCUGACUGAUGAGUGCUGUUAAUGAAGAACUGUCCCAGACUUCUGACCGACAACACAGUCACAAGGAUGGCUCUUCCCUGCCUCAGAGAGGAAAAUGAACAUGACUGGUGGGGACCUUCCAAUGUCUGAAACACAAUGAAUUUAAUUUCUACUGGUCAGCAGGCAAUGGUAAACAGUUUAGCUAAUUAAGUAGGUUGAGAAACUAGAACCACAGCAAAAAUAGAAGACUAAGAUACUUGUUCUGAACAAUAUUGAAAUAUGGUAGCCAUUAUGAAGAGGGCAUCUGUGAGACUCAGCUGAAAU